AUUUCAGGUCAGGCCUGCCCAAUGAGAAGUUAAAUGGCCGCGGUAUAUUGACCGUGCAAAGGUAGCAUAAUCAUUAGUUUUUUAAUUGAAAGCUAGUAUGAAAGGUUACAUGAGGAGAUAUCUGUCUCUGGAAAAAUUUAUUAGAAUUUUAUUUUUAAGUUAAAAAGCUUAAAUUUUCAUAGAAGACGAGAAGACCCUAUAGAGUUUUAUAUUUAUAUUUAUGCUAAGAUUUUAGGGAUUAAUGUCUAGGCUUGAUUAUAUUUAUUUUGUUGGGGUGAUAAAAAAAUUAAAAUAACUUUUUUUUUAUUUAAAUAUUUAUUUGUAAAUUUAUGAUCCUAAAGUGUAGAUUAAAAGAUUAAAUUACCUUAGGGAUAACAGCGUAAUUUUUUUAAAAGUUCUUAUUGAAAAAGAAGAUUGCGACCUCGAUGUUGGAUUAAAAUUGAUUAUUGGUGUAGAAGCUAAUAAAUUAGGUCUGUUCGACCUUUAAAAUUUUACAUGAUCUGAGUUUAAACCGGCGUGAG
This 521-nucleotide ribosomal RNA is filed under the name Trigonopterus sp. 4 AR-2022a. RNAcentral's name for it is "partial large subunit ribosomal RNA". It matches the Rfam family "Bacterial large subunit ribosomal RNA", at positions 1845 to 2625 of the family's 2925-position model. Lineage: Eukaryota; Metazoa; Arthropoda; Insecta; Coleoptera; Curculionidae. The record is from RNAcentral.